UGCCUGUUCAGGAGGAGAGACAGAAGAGACUUGGGCUGGAACUCACCAGAAUUCAGUUCCAACACCUUUCAAGUGGAUGCUGUUGCCAUUAUAAGAGAACAAGGGAGGCAUUCAUGCUGCAGCCAACCAUCAAAUGAGAGACAAAGGGAAAGCUGAUUGGUCCGAUCUCUCCUGGUCCCUGAUUUGUCUAGUCUC
This is a long non-coding RNA of Lacerta agilis (Sand lizard), 195 nucleotides long. RefSeq lists it as uncharacterized. The record is from RefSeq and is a predicted model, not a curated record. Lineage: Eukaryota; Metazoa; Chordata; Lepidosauria; Squamata; Lacertidae. The transcript has 3 exons.